GGCACUGUGGUAGAGUGGUUAAUACGUUGCACUGCUACCGUCAUAUAGUUCAUGCAUAUGCAAUUCCUUCGGGAGCCAGGGUUCGAAUCCCUGCGGUGUCG
This is a non-coding RNA of Arthroderma sp. PD_2, 101 nucleotides long. The record is from the annotation of a GenBank genome assembly. NCBI's taxonomy places the organism in Eukaryota, Fungi, Ascomycota, Eurotiomycetes, Onygenales, Arthrodermataceae.